UAGCUCACAUCAGUCCACUCUCCUCUCCACACUGGUCUUUGUCUUUCUAACUACGAGUGGAUGGAGGGAAGGGGCCCACUCCUUUGCAGUCUGGCACAGAUCCGCUUCCUUUGUUCCCUUAAUGGCUUAUUACCUAUAAUCUUACUACACCUGGCAUCUACUUUGCUGCUGCAUGCAGAAGAAGAAGGCAGGAGAAAGGGAAUAUAAAGGAAUGUAGUGGAGUGGCUGCAGUUUUCUCUCAGUAAUGUAGCAUUGCAGUCAGUACUGAGUUUCGGUCUUUCAUGCAGUGCUGAAAUGCCACACUUAAGAAGCAGAGUCGUGGAAUCACCCUUAUUAUGCUCAAGAAUCUAGGCCUGAAAGCAAAUGUGGGGCAGUGGGUAAGAUGCCGUAAUUACAAAUGGAAAACGAGGGUUCACAUCACACCUGGGCUAUGAAGCUUGCUAGCACAUUUGUGGGAAACGGUAUUUUAAUGAUAUUGCUGUGACUUGGGCCAGCCCGCAUCUCCUAGCCUAAUCUCCCUCAGAGGGUUGUUGAGGAUAAAGUGGAUGAGAAGGGGGGAAACCAUAUACCACGAUCCUGAGCUUGUUUAACUAACCCUGUUGUGUCAUAAAGCAAUGAGAUCCAAACGUGUUACUGGGGUGUGUGGGUGUGUGGAAAAAUUCCCUAUAUUAAUUGUACACUGCUUCAGUGGGCUCUGUCCAUUAAGCAGCUUAUAAAACGAUUACAUGAAUGCAACAAAUACUCCCCCAUCAUAUGUUUAUUUUUAUUUUAUUUUAUUUAUUAAAUUUCUAUCCCAACGUUCCUCUCAAAGGGUCCUGGAGUAGCAAAUAUAAAAAUGUUAAAACUUGAAAUGAAAUGCAAACAUUAUUUAAAAGAUUUAAAAUCCAUUGUAAAACAUUUGAAACAUUUAAGAACCUUUAGAAUGUCUGAAAACAUUCAAAAGCAAUUCGGAUCUCUGUUUGGGUACUGUGUGUAAUGAUUAAAGCAGAGGACUGCAGUUCAAUGCCCCCAGGUAGGGCUCUGCUUGAUUCAGCUUCUAACGCUUAGGCUGCAGAGCCACUACUCUCCAUGUCUUCCUCCCUCUGCACUCUGAGACAGAAGUUCAACUUGAACAGAGCCUGUUGGUAUUAUGAAUUUGAUUAUUACUGAUAUGGAAGAACGCAGGAUGUGCAUGGGUCUCGAGAGGACAGGAGCGAUUCCUCUUGUAAUAUGUCACCUGUACGUAUUAAUCUGUCUGCAAAGAAUGAC
Molecule: non-coding RNA, 1248 nt
Organism: Podarcis lilfordi (Lilford's wall lizard)
Lineage: Eukaryota; Metazoa; Chordata; Lepidosauria; Squamata; Lacertidae
Source: the annotation of a GenBank genome assembly